RNAcentral lists this ribosomal RNA (291 nucleotides) under uncultured Sphingobacteriales bacterium. RNAcentral's name for it is "partial 16S ribosomal RNA". It matches the Rfam family "Bacterial small subunit ribosomal RNA", at positions 1 to 304 of the family's 1533-position model. Lineage: Bacteria; Pseudomonadati; Bacteroidota; Sphingobacteriia; Sphingobacteriales. The record is from RNAcentral.
UAGUGAGUUUGAUCCUGGCUCAGGAUGAACGCUAGCGGCAGGCCUAAUACAUGCAAGUCGAACGGCCCAGCAAUGGGCAGUGGCGCACGGGUGCGUAACGCGUAUGCAACCUACCUUCCACUGGGGGAUAGCCCGGAGAAAUCCGGAUUAAUACCGCAUAACACAGCUUGAGGGCAUCUGAGGGCUGUUAAAGAUUUAUCGGUGGGAGAUGGGCAUGCGUGCCAUUAGCUUGUUGGCGGGGUAACGGCCCACCAAGGCGACGAUGGUCUAGGGGUUCUGAGACGGACCGGU